AAGGAGAAUGAAGGAAAAAGGGAGGGAGAAAACCACCCUUAUACAUUUAGGACUCACAGGGCAGGAGUCCCAGACUGGGAGAAAGUCUGGACGUUUCAGCAGAGUUCAGUGUGCUGUGUCACUGUUUGUCUUGGCCUUUUUCGGCUGUGAGCAGCAGCAGCGUAAAUGAAUGUGCUUCAUUUCCUCAGCAACAAGACUGGGUCACACAUGUCCCCUCCCCUGGUGAGCAACCCAAGGAGUGAGUGGGGUGUCAUGGUGUUGCCAGGGACAGGCUGACAGUAGUACCAAAUUAGGAAAAGGACCGACUGAGGAUGCCUGGCCAAUCUGCAUCCCCAAUGCUCAGCCAGCAAAAUCAGUGGAAGUGUGUGUAAUUCUGCGGAGACUAGGAUGGCAUGUGCUCCGCCAGCAAUGCAGGAAAAAGGAUAAUCAAGCGGGACAUGGUUCUUGAAUAAGUGUAAAGCUAAACAUCAUCAAAAUGCUGCAACACAAUACGAGGGGCUGGAAGUGGUUAGUAUUGUGAUUACAGAGAGGGCAUCAGUAUAGGAUGUCAUUUCUCACAAAGAUCCAGGAAAAUGUCUAGCAUUCAUUUUUAUAAACAAAGCAUAGCACACUGGAGUUAUUUCUUAUUUCAAACGUAUAGUCAUACUACCUUUAUUUAGAACAUGGGCGAGGGGAUUGGAAUGGUAUAUAAAUCCAGGACAAGACUUGGUAUGUAAGUUCCUCCUCAAAAAAGCAAAACGCAAGGCCUAUUCUAAACAAAUCCAGGGCAAUUCAGCUCUGAAGCAUUGUUAAUCUUUUCAUUAAAGGUACAGUCACUAUGUUCCAAAUCCUUCUUCCAAAGAUCAGAUCCAGAUUUUCCAGCUAAUGAAACAAUGAAGUCAUUCCUGACUUGAGAUGCAAACUUCAGUGAGCCUGGAAGUGAGUCCAAGAAGGAAGUGGUGAGAAUGAACACACUGACCUCACUCUCCUUCCUCCUCAUAUCCUGCUGGUGCUCGUCAGCGGCCAAACACGAUCACAAGUUCCCACAAUAGGCUGUCUGCAAGCUGAGGAGCAAGGAAGCCAGUCUGAAUCCUAAAACUGAAGAACUUGGAGUCCAAUGUUUGAGGGCAGGAAACAUCCAGCAUGGGAGAAAGAUGUAGGCUGGGAGGCUACGCUCUUCUCUCUCUCUGUCC
Molecule: long non-coding RNA, 1172 nt
Filed under: Homo sapiens (human)
Lineage: Eukaryota; Metazoa; Chordata; Mammalia; Primates; Hominidae
Description: HSALNT0147078
Source: RNAcentral